RNAcentral lists this unclassified non-coding RNA (238 nucleotides) under Hevea brasiliensis (rubber tree). Lineage: Eukaryota; Viridiplantae; Streptophyta; Magnoliopsida; Malpighiales; Euphorbiaceae. The record is from RNAcentral.
GUGACAGUCGAAAUAAUGCAUGCAAUGUGGAAACCGCAAAAGUUCAAGCUGAUAUACCUUAUGGCAACUCUAUAUGUUCUCACCCUCACCCUACCGUCAGCAGCCACCGUUUACUGGGCCUUCGGCGAUAUGCUCCUCAACCACUCCAAUGCUUUCGCUCUACUGCCGAGAACCGGUUUCAGAGAUACUGCUGUCAUUCUCAUGCUCAUCCAUCAAUUCAUAACCUUCGGAUUUGCGU